This 402-nucleotide unclassified non-coding RNA is filed under the name Moritella viscosa. Its description in RNAcentral is "putative sRNA". Lineage: Bacteria; Pseudomonadati; Pseudomonadota; Gammaproteobacteria; Alteromonadales; Moritellaceae. The record is from RNAcentral.
AAAAUUAUAUAGGAAGAAUAAAGCAACAUGAAAAAGUGGAAUGAAUGUAUAUAGCAACCCUCCAACUUAUCAGAUUCAGUGUUUAUUUUAAUAUCAGGGAAGAAUCCUCUCCUGGUUAUGCUGAAGAAGAGUCUGGUGAAGGCACUACAUUUCAAAGAUUAAUAAGCUCAGAGCUAGUUAAAAUACACUGCGAUAGAGAAUAGAGAAAGUUGUUCAUUACAGGUUAAUCUGCUCAGAUGAAGUCAUCGAUGCAGUUUGCAGUACGCCACCUGAUAUUGUUAAUAGAUAGAUUACCUAACAAGACAAAGCAAUCGACCUCUGGCUACUGUUUGCGGCGUUACUUGAUUCCUAAAUUUAGUGUGAAAUCAUCCCAUCAUUUUUAGUUAAUUAUUGUUAUGUUUA